Molecule: transfer RNA, 72 nt
Filed under: Parcubacteria group bacterium CG08_land_8_20_14_0_20_43_9
Lineage: Bacteria
Also listed under: 1 other name
Description: tRNA-Phe
Rfam family: tRNA
About the family: Transfer RNA (tRNA) molecules are approximately 80 nucleotides in length.
Source: RNAcentral
GCCGCGGUAGCUCAGGGGUAGAGCAAACGACUGAAAAUCGUUGGGUCGUCAGUUCGAUUCUGACCCGCGGCA